This 468-nucleotide ribosomal RNA is filed under the name uncultured bacterium. RNAcentral describes it as "partial 16S ribosomal RNA". It matches the Rfam family "Bacterial small subunit ribosomal RNA", at positions 28 to 507 of the family's 1533-position model. The record is from RNAcentral.
GACGAACGCUGGCGGCGUGCUUAACACAUGCAAGUCGAACGGAAAGGCCCUGCUUUUGUGGGGUGCUCGAGUGGCGAACGGGUGAGUAACACGUGAGUAACCUGCCCUUGACUUUGGGAUAACUUCAGGAAACUGGGGCUAAUACCGGAUAGGAGCUCCUGCUGCAUGGUGGGGGUUGGAAAGUUUCGGCGGUUGGGGAUGGACUCGCGGCUUAUCAGCUUGUUGGUGGGGUAGUGGCUUACCAAGGCUUUGACGGGUAGCCGGCCUGAGAGGGUGACCGGCGACAAUGGUACUGAGAUACGGCCCAGAAGCCUACGGGAGGCAGCAGUGGGGAAUAUUGCAGAACGGGCGGAAGUCUGAGGCAGCAACGCUGCGUGCGGGAUGACGGGCUUCGGGUUGUAAACCGCUUUCGCAUGUGACGAAGCGUGAGUGACGGUAAUGGGUAAAGAAGCACCGGCUAACUACGUG